RNAcentral lists this ribosomal RNA (253 nucleotides) under uncultured bacterium. RNAcentral describes it as "partial 16S ribosomal RNA". It matches the Rfam family "Bacterial small subunit ribosomal RNA", at positions 524 to 776 of the family's 1533-position model. The record is from RNAcentral.
UACAGAGGUCUCAAGCGUUGUUCGGAUUUAUUGGGCGUAAAGGGCGCGUAGGCGGCGUGGCAAGUCGGGUGUGAAAUCUCAGGGCUCAACCCUGAAACUGCACUUGAUACUGCUCUGCUUGAGGACUGGAGAGGAGACUGGAAUUCACGGUGUAGCAGUGAAAUGCGUAGAUAUCGUGAGGAAGACCAGUGGCGAAGGCGGGUCUCUGGACAGUUCCUGACGCUGAGGCGCGAAGGCCAGGGGAGCAAACGGG